GACGAGGCACUACGGUGCUGAAGCAACAAAUGCCCUGCUUCCAGGAAAAGCCUCUAAGCAUCAGGUAACAUUAAAUCGUACCCCAAACCGACACAGGUGGUCAGGUAGAGAAUACCAAGGCGCUUGAGAGAACUCGGGUGAAGGAACUAGGCAAAAUGGUGCCGUAACUUCGGGAGAAGGCACGCUGAUAUGUAGGUGAAGCGACUUGCUCGUGGAGCUGAAAUCAGUCGAAGAUACCAGCUGGCUGCAACUGUUUAUUAAAAACACAGCACUGUGCAAACACGAAAGUGGACGUAUACGGUGUGACGCCUGCCCGGUGCCGGAAGGUUAAUUGAUGGGGUUAGCGGUAACGCGAAGCUCUUGAUCGAAGCCCCGGUAAACGGCGGCCGUAACUAUAACGGUCCUAAGGUAGCGAAAUUCCUUGUCGGGUAAGUUCCGACCUGCACGAAUGGCGUAAUGAUGGCCAGGCUGUCUCCACCCGAGACUCAGUGAAAUUGAACUCGCUGUGAAGAUGCAGUGUACCCGCGGCAAGACGGAAAGACCCCGUGAACCUUUACUAUAGCUUGACACUGAACAUUGAGCCUUGAUGUGUAGGAUAGGUGGGAGGCUUUGAAGUGUGGACGCCAGUCUGCAUGGAGCCGACCUUGAAAUACCACCCUUUAAUGUUUGAUGUUCUAACGUAGGCCCCUUAUCGGGGUUGCGGACAGUGUCUGGUGGGUAGUUUGACUGGGGCGGUCUCCUCCUAAAGAGUAACGGAGGAGCACGAAGGUUGGCUAAUCCUGGUCGGACAUCAGGAGGUUAGUGCAAUGGCAUAAGCCAGCUUGACUGCGAGCGUGACGGCGCGAGCAGGUGCGAAAGCAGGUCAUAGUGAUCCGGUGGUUCUGAAUGGAAGGGCCAUCGCUCAACGGAUAAAAGGUACUCCGGGGAUAACAGGCUGAUACCGCCCAAGAGUUCAUAUCGACGGCGGUGUUUGGCACCUCGAUGUCGGCUCAUCACAUCCUGGGGCUGAAGUAGGUCCCAAGGGUAUGGCUGUUCGCCAUUUAAAGUGGUACGCGAGCUGGGUUUAGAACGUCGUGAGACAGUUCGGUCCCUAUCUGCCGUGGGCGCUGGAGAACUGAGGGGGGCUGCUCCUAGUACGAGAGGACCGGAGUGGACGCAUCACUGGUGUUCGGGUUGUCAUGCCAAUGGCACUGCCCGGUAGCUAAAUGCGGAAGAGAUAAGUGCUGAAAGCAUCUAAGCACGAAACUUGCCCCGAGAUGAGUUCUCCCUGACCCUUUAAGGGUCCUGAAGGAACGUUGAAGACGACGACGUUGAUAGGCCGGGUGUGUAAGCGCAGCGAUGCGUUGAGCUAACCGGUACUAAUGAACCGUGAGG
This 1374-nucleotide ribosomal RNA is filed under the name Escherichia coli. RNAcentral describes it as "partial 23S ribosomal RNA". It matches the Rfam family "Bacterial large subunit ribosomal RNA", at positions 1568 to 2916 of the family's 2925-position model. Lineage: Bacteria; Pseudomonadati; Pseudomonadota; Gammaproteobacteria; Enterobacterales; Enterobacteriaceae. The record is from RNAcentral.